RNAcentral lists this ribosomal RNA (253 nucleotides) under uncultured bacterium. RNAcentral's name for it is "partial 16S ribosomal RNA". It matches the Rfam family "Bacterial small subunit ribosomal RNA", at positions 524 to 776 of the family's 1533-position model. The record is from RNAcentral.
UACGUAGGGAGCAAGCGUUGUUCGGAUUUACUGGGCGUAAAGGGCGCGUAGGCGGCGCGGUAAGUCACUUGUGAAAUCUCUGAGCUUAACUCAGAACGGCCAAGUGAUACUGCAGUGCUAGAGUGCAGAAGGGGCAAUCGGAAUUCUUGGUGUAGCGGUGAAAUGCGUAGAUAUCAAGAGGAACACCUGAGGUGAAGGCGGGUUGCUAGGCUGACACUGACGCUGAGGCGCGAAAGCUAGGGGAGCAAACGGG